CACGUAGGGGGCGAGCGUUGUCCGGAAUCAUUGGGCGUAAAGAGCUCGUAGGCGGCUCGGUAAGUCGGGUGUGAAACCCUCAGGCUCAACCUGGGGACGCCACCCGAUACUGCCGUGGCUAGAGUCCAGUAGGGGAGUGUGGAAUUCCCGGUGUAGCGGUGAAAUGCGCAGAUAUCGGGAGGAACACCAGCGGCGAAGGCGGCACUCUGGGCUGGUACUGACGCUGAGGAGCGAAAGCGUGGGUAGCAAACAGGAUUAGAAAACCCAGUAGUCC
RNAcentral lists this ribosomal RNA (274 nucleotides) under uncultured bacterium. RNAcentral's name for it is "partial 16S ribosomal RNA". It matches the Rfam family "Bacterial small subunit ribosomal RNA", at positions 524 to 796 of the family's 1533-position model. The record is from RNAcentral.